AAGAGUGAUUCCAGAGAGAAGCAGACAGAGGGGUCUACAGUCUGUGUUUGAAGGAUAUAUCCAGGAUGUCAAACUGACUCAGCAGCAACAACAGGUUAAAAAGACAAAGAUAGUUAGAAGCUAAAGCCAAACUAUAGGCUACAGAUCACAGUGUAAAAGUGAACCACCACAUCACUGCUGAUCGCCACACAAGACAAUGUAUAUAAAGGGAAACUUUGCUGAUAUUGAACCAGCUGUGUGGCAUCGCCGUGUGUGCAGAUGAACCGUGUUUGGCUUCGCCCUGUGCCGCUGGAUGGGCAGGGAUAUCUGGAAGAAGUCAUAAACCCCAAAAUAUUGCAAUCAGCUGGGAAAUAUAAACGUUAAAGUGCUUUUUACCCAGAAAAUCUGCAGCUUCCCCUUUUAUUCUCAUUGCCUCUUCAAUAUGGCGGCGCUGUUGACGUACGAUUCGGCAGCCAAUGCGGCAUCUAUGUUUCUAUAUCUAUCGUCAAAAGCCUUUUGAUGAAUAACUCUUUAGCAACCAAUCCGAAAGCUGUUAAUAAAAAGAAUAGUUGUCGACAACACAUUUGGGGACUAAGGAAUCACUUUAAAACAAAUAUGCAACAAUAAUUUGGCUUAAGAAACAAGUACAAAGUAUCUAAUGCAAAGCCAAAGCACAGUAUUUUAUUAGUAAAUACUCAUUUCAUAUUUUCAUGCAUGUGGAUUCUCAGUAAAUGAGGAUCUCUCUUAACAUCUAACUUCUUCAACCAAUAACAGAAACCAGCAUCAAGAAGCAUGUUUGCUCCAAAGAUAAAACCUCUCCUGACAUCCGGCUCCAUGUCUUCACUCACCAUUGAUGAUGUGUUUAUACUAUAUAUUUUUUUGAAAAUGUUGAAAACCUGAGGGGAUGUGGUGAAAGAAAACUGCCAGGAUGAUGUGUGUGCAAUGUCCCACUUUUUUUGGCUCAGUAUGAGUCAUAGUCAGGUUUAUAUACCAGCUCAGUGACAGCAGUGCUUUAAUGAUUACAGAUACUCUGUCAUGAUGUGCGCUCAACUGCUUCAGAGCUACUGUGCAACAGAUUGCAACUUUCACAUUUUUCCUCUCGUCUCACAACUUCAACUUUUUUUAGGCUUAAUGUACCAAGGUUCUGUCAUUGUUUUGUCUUCUCAGAACAUUGGUAGAGGGUUAUCCAUUAAGUACAAUUACAGUUGUAGCCCUGUGAUGACUUCUUCUCAAACUGUGAAGCAGAACAUGUACAGCACAUACUGUAAACACUCUAUGGUGCUGUCAAACACCAACAGAUAUGUUAUUGGGAAAAACUUUGAGAGCGCUUUGAGAAUUUUGGCUUGGGAAAUUGUGAAAAAAGCAGUGUUGUUCUGUACGUCAGACCUGUUGUCUAAAACUGUAAUUGUACACAUUUCAUUCAUUCAUUCAUUCAUUCUUUGAUUUAAUGGGAUGGACUGAAUUUAUGAAACGUGAUUUAAUUCAAAAACUGUAUCUGAUAUAUUUCAGAGAGGUGUUGCCACAAUACUGGAACUGCUAACAGCACUAUACCCUAAAAAUGUCAACAUUAUUAAUAUUGAUCGAUAUGUAUCAAUAAAAUCAGUAUUUCUGACAACACUAAUCUGAUAUAGUUCAGAGCAGUGAUUCCCAAGUGGUGGGCCAAGGUCCAAAAGUGGGUCGUGGGUUCAUUCUGAAUGGACCGCAAAUGACUUGUUAACAUGUCAAGUAAAAACCACACUUUAUUUUGACGUACAGUGAAUUUCCAGCACACAGCUUUUAUUUUGAAGUGCUGUUUCCUGCUGUAGAGUGAGUAACUAUCAGACAGCUACGUGACAGAGACAGCAAACUAGCUCGACGACAUGACAUAACGAAAGUAUGAUGCCGAAUACAUUAACCUGUGUGGACCUUGAACUCUUGACGAAGGACAAAUCUGGUGGCCGGACCAGUUGGGAACCACUGUCUCAGAGAUUUAUGAGCUUAAACAGACUUGGUACAAUCAUUUUUGAAAAUGUAACUGUAGAGAUAAACUUGAAUAAUAUUGUGCUCUGACUAAGUGAGACCACUUUGCUGCAGUGUCCUCAGCCUCUGAUAAUUGUCUGGAACUUUGCACUAGCCCAACAGGGCAGAAACAUAACGGUAUCCACAGGCUUCAUUCUCUACAAUCCCACAUUGUAAUACAGUAUAAUGUUGAGAAGAAGUGGCAGAAAGUCAACGCCUUGUGGAAAUAAUAUUUCACUCAGAAUUGCACUGUACAAGCAAACACUGCUACCAAAUGCAUUGCCUCCUAGUUCAGAUGAAACAGCCUUAUUUUCAGACUGAUGCCUGAAGCUGGCAAGGAUCAUGUCGGGUUUCUGUGGGAGUGAAAUUAUACUGCACAACCACCCAAACUGGAGUUACUUGGUUUAUAAAGCAGCAUCAGUAGCAGUGUGGUCCCAUGGAUGGAUGGCAGAACAUACAAACGUGUCACUGUACCUUAAACGUUGAUGAGCGAUGUGCAAUUUACUGUAAGGUAAAGAUGAAAACUGACAGUGCCAGAGGAAAUAAAUGUUUUUGAAGGAAAA
Molecule: long non-coding RNA, 2540 nt
Organism: Epinephelus moara (kelp grouper)
Lineage: Eukaryota; Metazoa; Chordata; Actinopteri; Perciformes; Serranidae
Exons: 2
Source: RefSeq, a predicted model, not a curated record